GUGGAAAUAGGACACGAUUUGUAAAGAAAACGCAAAAGUAAACAAACCGUAGGGAAGCCAUUGAAAAUGUGGUAAAAUCAUUCAAGCGUUGAGCAGUUGUUACAAAUUUUGAUCAACCCUCACCAUUUGGAAGAUUGAAGAGGAGAAGACGAAUCCCCAACGUGAAUCCCUAGGCCUGGAAAGAAAGAAAAUUCACUCGAUCGGAAUGCAGUUACUCUUUUAUUUUGCUUGUGAAAAAUGCUUUUGUUACAUAACAUAAAGUUGACACUGCAUGUAUCUGCCCUUGAAACGUGGUUUCUACUUUUAAGGUACACCCCUCGUUUAAAAGCAAUCUGACAAAUUACAAUUUUCCGGAACACACGAUAACAGGAAACUACAUUUGAUUAAGAGCACAACUAGGGGGUUAAAUGCAUUACACUUGUAUUUAUAGUUUUUAACCUAUGAAAUUGUUUUCCUUGGAGACCAGUCAUUAUUCAUCGCCCUGGGGGAGGGGAGGGGAGGUUUCGGAUUAUUUCUACGAACAAUAGACCUUAUUAGAAGGGAAGAGGGGAGGCCGGAGGGGACAGUGGAUGAAU
Molecule: long non-coding RNA, 575 nt
Organism: Pocillopora damicornis (cauliflower coral)
Lineage: Eukaryota; Metazoa; Cnidaria; Anthozoa; Scleractinia; Pocilloporidae
Source: RefSeq, a predicted model, not a curated record